This 319-nucleotide ribosomal RNA is filed under the name uncultured eukaryote. RNAcentral's name for it is "partial 18S ribosomal RNA". It matches the Rfam family "Eukaryotic small subunit ribosomal RNA", at positions 1470 to 1796 of the family's 1831-position model. The record is from RNAcentral.
CCCUUAGAUGUCCUGGGCCGCACGCGUGCUACACUGACGCCUACAGCGAGUACUUCCCAGCCCCGAGAGGUGGCUGGUAAUCAGCAAUAGGCGUCGUGAUGGGGAUAGAUCUUUGGAAUUAUGGAUCUUGAACGAGGAAUGCCUAGUAAGCGCAGGUCAUUAGCCUGCGCUGAUUAAGUCCCUGCCCUUUGUACACACCGCCCGUCGCUCCUACCGAUUUCGAGUGGUCCGGUGAAUCUUUCGGACUGCGCGCGGCCUCGUGCCGUGUCGCGGAAAGUCAGGUAAACCUUAUCACUUAGAGGAAGGAGANGUCGUAACA